This 633-nucleotide ribosomal RNA is filed under the name uncultured bacterium. RNAcentral's name for it is "bacterial SSU rRNA". It matches the Rfam family "Bacterial small subunit ribosomal RNA", at positions 159 to 810 of the family's 1533-position model. The record is from RNAcentral.
GGUGCUAAUACCGCAUAAGCGCACAGCUUCGCAUGAAGGAGUGUGAAAAACUAAGGUGGUAUAUGAUGGAUCCGCGUCUGAUUAGCCAGUUGGUGAGGUAACGGCUCACCAAAGCGACGAUCAGUAGCCGGCCUGAGAGGGCGGACGGCCACAUUGGGACUGAGACACGGCCCAGACUCCUGCGGGAGGCAGCAGUGGGGGAUAUUGCACAAUGGGGGAAACCCUGAUGCAGCGACGCCGCGUGAGUGAAGAAGUAAUUCGUUACGUAAAGCUCUAUCAGCAGGGAAGAAAAUGACGGUACCUGACUAAGAAGCCCCGGCUAACUACGUGCCAGCAGCCGCGGUAAUACGUAGGGGGCAAGCGUUAUCCGGAAUUACUGGGUGUAAAGGGAGCGCAGACGGCAGUGCAAGUCUGGAGUGAAAGCCCGUGGCUUAACUACGGGACUGCUUUGGAAACUGUGCAGCUAGAGUGCAGGAGAGGCAGGCGGAAUUCCUAGUGUAGCGGUGAAAUGCGUAGAUAUUAGGAGGAACACCGGUGGCGAAGGCGGCCUGCUGGACUGUAACUGACGUUGAGGCUCGAAAGCGUGGGGAGCAAACAGGAUUAGAUACCCUGGUAGUCCACGCCGUAAACGAU